Molecule: non-coding RNA, 131 nt
Organism: Prunus mume (Japanese apricot)
Lineage: Eukaryota; Viridiplantae; Streptophyta; Magnoliopsida; Rosales; Rosaceae
Source: RefSeq, a predicted model, not a curated record
CAAACAACAAGAUUCAGGCAUUUCUGUUUUACCUCAGUAUUGGUUUGUACCAGCACAUUGGCAUGGGGUGUAAACCUUCCAGGUCAUCAUCUGGUCAAUAUUAAGGUAAGGCAAAACUUGUGCAGUAUCUU